CAGCAGCCGCGGUAAUACGUAGGGUGCGAGCGUUAAUCGGAUUUACUGGGCGUAAAGCGUGCGCAGGCGGCCCGUUAAGACAGGUGUGAAAUCCCUGGGCUCAACCUAGGAAUUGCGCUUGUGACUGGCGGGCUCGAGUACGGUAGAGGGGGGUGGAAUUCCUGGUGUAGCAGUGAAAUGCGUAGAGAUCAGGAGGAACACCGAUGGCGAAGGCAGCCCCCUGGGCCUGUACUGACGCUCAUGCACGAAAGCGUGGGGAGCAAACAGGAUUAGAUACCCUGGUAGUCCACGCCCUAAACGAUGGGUACUAGCCGUUUGGUGCGCGAGAGCGCUGAGUGGCGAAGCUAACGCGUGAAGUACCCCGCCUGGGGAGUACGGCCGCAAGGUUGAAACUAAAAGGAAUUGGCGGG
RNAcentral lists this ribosomal RNA (410 nucleotides) under uncultured microorganism. Its description in RNAcentral is "bacterial SSU rRNA". It matches the Rfam family "Bacterial small subunit ribosomal RNA", at positions 509 to 917 of the family's 1533-position model. The record is from RNAcentral.